ACGAAGCAAAUGUCAACUGACUCACGGCAGGGACGGUUGGACAUGAAAGAGUGUGCAGUGAUCCCAUCAGCAAACUUUUGUGCCUAAAAUUAUUCAUUCCAGGGGGAAGGAGUGCGUAUGAGAGCACAAGCUGUUUAGGGACCCUCGGCAGAACCGAUGAGUACAGACAGUCAUGACUACCUGUCAUCCAACAGGACAAGAAACUUAAGAAGUCUGUGAGACUGGAAGGAAGAAGUUGAAUGAGAAGCAGAGAGCAGGAGACCAGGAGUAGAGGAUGGAGCGAAGGAGGAAGAAAGAGCGUUUGCUGAAGGGGAGCACAGGUCUGAUCAUCUGGCCCAGGCCUGUGGUUCCUAACGCAUGGGUCUACGUUCACUCUGGUGCAGCACCACAGUUGUGGCCAGAAGAAGCAGUGUGCACAACUUGUUGUUACCUGGCAGACACCUCCAUGAGCUAUCACACAUCCUCUGUACACCGGAUCUACAGAACACUUUUAUCUAAAUCAUCUCGUGUGAAGGUAUGUUAAGGUUCAUCAAGUGUGUGCUAUAGUAGAAUCUACAGCAGUUUUUAGGACUUAUCUACAAAGAAGAAAGAAAAUCCUGCAGUGGCAAUGCAGACAAACUCUGAAUUGAAAGGAUAAAGAAAUACCUUUGGCUUGCCAGCACAAACCCAAACAACAGCAAAAGGUCCUUAACAACCUGAGGAAUCCAGAGAAGUGUUUUAGGAAAUGCCUGAUUAAUGCUUAUAUAAUGACAUUGACAAAAAUUGAUGAGCACAUUCAUACAAAAAGGAUAUGAUUUGAGUCAACAUUCAUAUUUUACUUCCCAUCUCUGGUACAUCAAAUAUCGGAAGGUUUAGGAACAUCGUCUCCCACUGAAGCCAGACAAGACAUCCUUCUCCUACAUAGGUGUCCGAGACCAUGACUAUCCAGUGACACUACAAUGAUCAGCAUUCAGAUGAACUUUAGUCCACGGAACUCAAGAAAUGUCACAGCUUUAGCUUCCCUGUCUGGGUGGCUUAUGAAAUAUCUAAAUUCAGCUGCACAGGGGCAAUUCCCCUUAAAACCUUGGUUCAGCAAAAAAACCAGCAGCAAAGAAUCUUUUACCACAGAUUCCACAACCAACUUACAUUCUACUAAAAUACCUUAUUCAUGUGUAAUUAAAGAUUAAAAAGUUCUUUUAUGAAUCACUUGGACACUUAACAGUUUAUCUGUUUGCAUAACCCCUCAUGUUCUAUGGGAUCCUACUUCCAGUAACUCAUUAUUUGGGAGUGACCUCUCAAAAAAGAUUUUUUUUUGUAGAAAAUCGAACUGAAAAUUGUCUCAAGAUAUUUGGGGAUGAUGACAAUAUAUUUUAUAAAGUUACUCAAAAAAAGGUCUGAUGACAUAAAGAUGCCUUCAGGUUCGCUAAAAACUGUUCAUAAACCGUGUGCUAUGAAAGAAGCCAUAGGUAACCACAGUGAGAAAACUUUCUCUAAUGAUAAUGCUGAAGAAUUAAAGAUUACAUCUGCUGCCCCUCAGAAGAAAGGUCCUACAGACAGCAGUGCACAACAGAGCAACUUCCACAUAUUGUAUGUAACAGUGUGAUCAAGUGGUAGAGGAUGACUGACGAAGGUUCCAGCCCUCUCUUUUUCAAUGAGCCUUUGCACCUCCCGCUUAGCCAUAGAAGACUAUAUUAUUACAAGACACUCCUGUUAUUAUAUUUUACUAUAUUAUUGAUUACAAACAGUUUUCACUUA
Mus musculus (house mouse) is the source of this 1734-nucleotide long non-coding RNA. RefSeq annotates it as predicted gene, 31466. Lineage: Eukaryota; Metazoa; Chordata; Mammalia; Rodentia; Muridae. The record is from RefSeq and is a predicted model, not a curated record. The transcript is spliced from 10 exons.